GAUGAACGCUGGCGGCGUGCCUAAUACAUGCAAGUCGAGCGAACAGACGAGGAGCUUGCUCCUCUGACGUUAGCGGCGGACGGGUGGGUAACACGUGGAUAACCUACCUAUAAGACUGGGAUAACUUCGGGAAACCGGAGCUAAUACCGGAGAAUAUAUUGAACCGCAUGGUUCAAUGGUGAGAGACGGUGUUGCUGGCACUUAUAGAUGCAUCCGCGCCUCAUUAGCUAGUUGGUAAGUUAACGGCUUACCAAGGCAACGAGGCGUAGCCGACCUGAGAGGGUGAUCGGCCACACUGGAACUGAGACACGGUCCAGACUCCUACGGGAGGCAGCAGUAGGGAAUCUUCCGCAAUGGGCGAAAGCCUGACGGAGCAACGCCGCGUGAGUGAUGAAGGUCUUCGGAUCGUAAAACUCUGUUAUUAGGGAAGAACAAAUGUGUAAGUAACUAUGCACGUCUUGACGGUACCUAAUCAGAAAGCCACGGCUAACUACGUG
Molecule: ribosomal RNA, 497 nt
Filed under: uncultured bacterium
Lineage: Bacteria
Description: partial 16S ribosomal RNA
Rfam family: Bacterial small subunit ribosomal RNA
Source: RNAcentral